Oreochromis niloticus (Nile tilapia) is the source of this 1542-nucleotide long non-coding RNA. RefSeq lists it as uncharacterized. NCBI's taxonomy places the organism in Eukaryota, Metazoa, Chordata, Actinopteri, Cichliformes, Cichlidae. The record is from RefSeq and is a predicted model, not a curated record. The transcript is spliced from 2 exons.
GCAGAAUCAGUUCUAUAAUGUCUAUUGAUUAGAUUAUGAGUUGAUUAAUCUGUUUGGGGACCCCAAGCUAUUUGACCCUAUUAGACCUUAUUUGACCCCUAAAGACAUUUUAACUGAAGCAAUGACGCUUGAUUUUGACAGAAGUUCCACAUUUAAAGAAAAACAUAAGUGUCUACUACUUUUUGUUGUUUUUUUUAAAGGGGGGAAACAUGCAAGUAAAACAGAUUAUCUUCAGAUAUGGGAAGCUGUACUCUACUAUUCUUAACUCCCAAAAGUUUGGUAUCUUAAAGGUGCUCUAUUGGAUUGACGUCUGAUGACAGUUCAAGAAACCAGGCGAAACCAGUACUGGCAACAAGAAGAUAUUUUCCCCCAGAGAACUACCGCUCAUAUUUUCUCUUUUUUGGACCAUUCUCUGUAAAUCCCAGAAGAUCAGCAGUUUGUAAAAUACUCACACCAGUCUGGGACCAAAAACCAUGCCACGUUUUAACUCACCUAAAUUACCUUACUUCCCCAUUUAAAUGCUCAGUGUUAACUUCAGCAAGUUGCCUUAAUCAUGUCUACGUGUCUAAAUGCACUGAAUUUCUGCCAUGUGAUUGGCUGAAUCGAUAUUUGCAAUGAAUGUGUGUACCUAAGAAAGUUUACUUUCCUUUUUAUAGAGAACCAAUAAUUCCAGAUACUGUUGUAUGGUUCAUAAGAAACCCUCCUUCAAAAUUUUUAAUGAUUUUAACCAAAGAUCGAAUAAAGAACUGCAGAUUAAGAGAUUUACUGAGAUAUUGGGUUUAAAAGAAGCUGCCCAGAUGGGACAUCUCAUGAUUUUGUCAAUAGUGGUUCAGGUAACAGAUGCAUGUUAGCACUUUUUGCAAAUACACAGCAACCGUAUCACGCAUUUGAUAUGAAUGAAAGUCCAAUAUUGACUCUUUAAAAAUCUGUUUGCUAAUGUUUGGCUUUGUUGACCUGUUAGUUGCCAUCUUUAGCUACAGUCUGUUGCUGAGCAGGUAGCGUGGUCCGCUCAUCGGAGCUUUUUUAUCCAGAAAUUAUUGUCUGAUGAAACUAAAGGUGAGAUAAAGGACAGCAAAUCAAAUGUUUAGAGUCUUCAUGUAAAUCUGAGUCAAUGAGCUGAAAGACAGCUAGAAAAAGAACUGCAGUGGAGGUGGUUGCUUUGGCUUGCAGAUCAUCCAGUGUGAUAUACACAGAAUAUAUAAAACCAGUUUACAAGCGACUUACAGCUCCUCCCUUGUUGACAAGAGCUACCACAGCAGUUAGCUCUGCAUGUUUGAUUUGGCAAAGUUUUUACUUCAGUGCCCUUCCUGAUGCAACCCCAAAGUGCUUCUGAUCCAUCUCCUCGCAGAAUCAAACCAGGGAUCUUUUGCUUGUCUAUCAGAGUAAACCACUAGAUUGUGGAGCCACCAGAAUCCAUAAAGCCUUUCCAGUGGUUUAUUUAUUAUAGUUAACUAUGGUGGGGUGGAUGGAUUGAUAGUUUGGAUGAUUAGCGGAUCAAAAUCAUGCAUAUAAGUCAUGCAUCUGACUGUUGAAAGGAUUUUU